UACGAAGAGGGCUAGCGUUGCUCGGAAUGACUGGGCGUAAAGGGCGCGUAGGCGGAUUGCUUUGUCGGGCGUGAAAUUCCAGGGCUUAACCUUGGGGCUGCGUUCGAGACGGGUGAUCUUGAGUUCGGAAGAGGGUCGUGGAAUUCCCAGUGUAGAGGUGAAAUUCGUAGAUAUUGGGAAGAACACCGGUGGCGAAGGCGGCGACCUGGUCCGAGACUGACGCUGAGGCGCGAAAGCGUGGGGAGCAAACAGG
RNAcentral lists this ribosomal RNA (253 nucleotides) under uncultured bacterium. RNAcentral describes it as "partial 16S ribosomal RNA". It matches the Rfam family "Bacterial small subunit ribosomal RNA", at positions 524 to 776 of the family's 1533-position model. The record is from RNAcentral.